This 449-nucleotide ribosomal RNA is filed under the name uncultured bacterium. Its description in RNAcentral is "partial 16S ribosomal RNA". It matches the Rfam family "Bacterial small subunit ribosomal RNA", at positions 29 to 523 of the family's 1533-position model. The record is from RNAcentral.
AGCGAACGCUGGCGGCAGGCCUAACACAUGCAAGUCGAACGAAGUCUUCGGACUUAGUGGCGGACGGGUGAGUAACACGUGGGAACGUGCCCUUUGGUACGGAAUAACUCAGGGAAACUUGAGCGAAUACCGUGUGUGCCCGUCGGGGGAAAGAUUUAUCGCCAUUGGAGCGGCUCGCGUCUGAGUGGCUAGUUGGUGAGGUAAAGGCUCACCAAGGCGACGAUCAGUAGCUGGUCUGAGAGGAUGAUCAGCCACAUGGGGACUGAGACACGGCCCAAACUCCUACGGGAGGCAGCAGUGGGGAAUCUUGCGCAAUGGGCGAAAGCCUGACGCAGCCAUGCCGCGUGAAUGAUGAAGGUCUUAGGAUUGUAAAAUUCUUUCACCGGGGACGAUAAUGACGGUACCCGGAGAAGAAGCCCCGGCUAACUUCGUGCCAGCCGCCGCCGUAA